CUAUAAGCAAAUUCAAAGGAGUUUGAAGGCAAGCUCUUGGGUUUCACAUAAUGUUGACACCAGAAAACUAUGGAAAUAUGUCUUAAAUUUCGUAUAAAAUGAGAACUGGGUUUAGUUUUUUGCCUUUCCGUGUGUUUAUUGUUUGAUAAUUCGUGAAAAUUGCUAUUUUCUUGAUUAUUACAUCCUCUUAUGUAAGCUAUAAAACUUUAAGCCAUUUGUUGUCUACUUUCUGAAGUGUUGGGGGCAUGGGUUAUAGUGGUACUUGUACAUAUUCUCUUUGAAUGCCUAGCUAUGAGUAUUUUUUAAAGCUUACCAGGACGUGGUAAAGAAUUGAUGUUAAUUUCCUUUCUUAUUCUGCAGGUUUCUUUAAUGUUACCGCCAGAGUCAAUUCACAUUGGAUAGGAAAUCGCUUGAUGCAAAUAAGGUAUGUAAAAUUUGAAAUAAGCAAUUAUGUAUUUUAUUUUAUUGUUUUGUUAGUGGUUUUGUGUUAGCAGUAGCAUUCUUGUUGUUUUAUUGAAAUUAUCGAUACAGGUUUAGUUGUGCAAGGGUAAGAUUUUCUUUGUAAUUUUGUGUAUGCCAACUUGCAUUCCUCGUUUAGACUGUAAAUCAGUUUUUCUUUCCAACAUUACCUUCCGUGGUUAAAUUGACAAUUGGUGUUUAAUAGCAGAAGUAAUGGCAAAUAAAUUUUGUGUUUGCGGCAUAUAUAAAUUUUCUACUAAAUUUUAGUAUUUCGUGCGCCAUUUGUGCACCAUUCGUGCCACUCACCAUAAUGAAAUCUUUACUAAGCGGUAAGCAUCAUUUUAGCAUUUCCAGGUCACUCGUGUUUUUUUCCCCUUUAAACUAACUGGUCUCUACAACGAGAAAUGAGAAGACUACACAUGCUCAUAACAGAACAUUUCAAAUCUUCAGCAUAUAAAUGGUGUUUAGUGACAAUGGGGAAAUCUAGCCAAAUAACAAAUUCUACUGAGGGGAAGUGAAGUAUAGCUAAUAACAUAUAAAACUGAGGCAUUAAGUGACAAAAAAGCACGUUUUUUAUUUUCACUUAAGAAACAUACUAGAAUCUAUUACUGUGACAUGAAACUUAAGGUAACUUAAUAGCUAGAAAUCGAUCAUAACAUGAAAUUCUCGAUUAUUGAUUACAAUUGCAGAAAUAAGAGCAAUGUCAUCAAAGCCUGAGUGAUAAAUCCAGGCCUGAGUCUAGACCUUCCUGAUUCUUUUCUAAGUCAGCGUUUCCAUUCCUGUCGUGCGUUGAUUGUGCAAAACUAGAAGCUGAGAGAUACUCAGACAUGUCUAAAACUGUCCCUGCAUUGAAAUUGGUUGUUCCAAAUGUUGAAUUCCACAUACUUACGGUCUGAUUGUCAAUCUUAGGAGGCAGUGUAAUAAACUGGGAAUUUGUCAAAAUAGAUUUUGGCCAUGUGGCGUAACCACAGUCAGGCUGAAGGGCAUAUCGAGCUAUUGGCAACAUUGAAUGUGAAAAAUUGCUGCCGCCUUGCGUUGCUUGCUGUAUGGGUUCAGAGUAAUACGACCUAUUAAUAAUAGAUUGGUUGAGAACUUUUGGGGUGCUGUUGAAAGCAACAGGAUGAGUGAAAAAGGUCUUUCCAUAAUAGGAGGAAAUCCAUGCGUGCUUAAAAUUAUUGCGCCUUUCCUGUGCAUUUCUUUGCACGAGUCGCUCAACUUUGUGGGCAUUUUGGUGCCCCCCAAAUGCUUGCUUACUAGAGAACUUCUUAUGGCAAUACCUGCAGCUAUAUACGUGUUCCUGUGCGUGUUUCAAAGUGUUGGGGAUGUUUGACAUUGCUGGGAUGUUAACUUUGGCAAUAGGUAAUUGCACGAUGGAUGUGAAAAAUUGAAGUCGGCUAUUUGGUUUUGGAGAGACAUGAAGUUGUCAAUAUAUACACGGAGAAAUUAAUGUCCAUAAAUUUCAUGCAGAAGUAUUUCGGAUUGCACGACGCUAAGAUGGUAAGAUACUGAAGACGAGGCAAGACAGAGAUUCGGAUUAUGAAAGGUAAGAUACUAAAGACGAGGCAAGAGAGAGAUUCGGAUUAUAAAAGGUAAGAUACUAAAGACGAUGUAAGCCAGAGAUUCUGAUUUAUGAAAUGCUUGCUAUGCCAUCAAUAUCAUUCCCUAUAUAUCAUAAGUUCACAUCUUCUGAUCACCCAGUCCAUUGACUUAUAAUCUUUGCUUUGGUCUCCCGGUAAUUUCUUAUACUUCUUUUCUUGGAGACUAUUUCAAUGUCAUGGGGAUAUUUGAUCCGACUGGGCUAUUAACCUUAGCUCUAGGUGAGCAUGCUACAUGUAGAAAACUUCCCCAGUUAAUUUGGAGUUCGGAGAGACGUGGACUUUAAUAAUUAUAUACAGAGAGAUUAAUUUCUGUAAAUUUAAGUUGGUUUCCUUAUUGGCCUGUGUUUACAGUCCAUUUUGUUAUUUUACUGAAACUAUUUCAAUUAGUUUUAGUUGUGCAACGAUAAGAUUCUUUGUACUUUAGAUGCGUGUUCUUCAAUUUAAACUGUAAAUGGUUUUACUUACUAACAAUACAACGAAGUGGGAUGUUGCUUCUUAGCUUUCGUUUUUAUAUGGUGUGUGAGUUGAUAAAUUGUGCAGAGCAGCUUACCCAGAAGUAACUAUAAGUAAAUCUUAUUUGCUCAUAUAUAAAAUAUUCUACUAGAUUUUAGUAUUUCAGGUGCUGUUUGUGCACCUUUCGUGCUCAUCGGAUUAUGAUUUAUUUCAUUUCAUAUUUAGAAUUCAUAAUGAAAUCUUUACUAGCCUGUUUGCUCAGACUCUCCAAAAUGGAGGAAGUACUUAUGUUGACACUACACGACACCGGUAGUGGUAUAGGAUCUGGCUACAAUCCCUCAACUUGAAAGAGUAUAUGGCAUGAAGAUGAAAGCCGUGGUUGAGAAAUGAGUUGGAGAAAGAGACCCAGCAAACGGGAACUGCUGAAGUGAAACACUGUGUGCCUAAUUGAUAAAGUAUAAAAAGAGGCUUCUAAAGAAGCCUGGUCAUCAUGGGUUUCAAGCACUAAAAGCUAUUUUAAAAUAAAGUAGGUCAUUGAAAAAGCCGUGAUUUUUCAAGCCACCAAGUCGAACCAGCCCCUCGAUGCUACACAUCAACCCCCAAUGGGUUAAUUCAAUCAGCAAGAGUAACUUGCAAAAAAAUUGUUGUCUAUUUGUCUUGAAGUUUACAGUCAAAAUAUAUCCCUAAAAAUGCAUCUAAAAUAUUAAUAUUCUAAUAGAAAAUAUGUGCUUAUAAGACUUACCCAUGUCCAAAAGUUGGAUCAAUUUCAGCCGUAUCCAUGUAGUCUAAAUUUUAAAGAGAAAGGGAUCCCUCCCAGAUUUGUACCCAUAGCCAAGUCUGAGAAAAAAAGUUACUAGCAUCAUGAUAGGCUCCAAAGGCACAUGGAUAAUUCCAUUUAGUUAGUUAAAGUAGGGGACAAGUAUGGGGAUUUAGUAGGGUGUUUGUUUGUCAUUAGGCUGAAAUCAAGAGGAAAUUGGUGGGAGAGAGUGAUCCUCUUGAAUGCUCACAUUUAUCUGUAAUUGUUUACAUUUUCAGUAUGUAUUCAAUCGAAUACCAAAAAAAAGGAUGAUUUUCUCGAUAUUCUGCUUUCUUCAUCCUUUACAGAAUUAUAAACAAAUAUACAAACACAACUGCUAUACAAACCCAGCAUCAUUUCUGUAAUUGCCUUGUUUGUCAGCAUCAGAUUUAGGAUCCUAUCAAAUGGUAACAGAGAGUUGUGCUUCUCAAUUGCUCAGCAAUUUAUUGUAAUUCUUUAUAUUCAGCUUGUAAUUUGAGACAGUAAUUCAUAACCCGUGUUUUGUUUGUACCUAUCAAAUUGGUUCAGAGCACACCUGGGAGAAGCAAUGUAGACAACUAUGGAGCAACUCAGGGAUAGAAUUUGAUUGAAAGUACUAAUGAUGGAGAAGAUGAUUCAGAAAUUGCGGAAACCAUGAUAAACUAAGCCGAUUUGAGUUAUAAUGCAGGCAAUACUAUACUUGUGUUCGAUGGAAAAAACCUAGAGGAUUGGGUGUAUUGGUAGAAGUCAGGGAUGACAACGGGGUGGGUAUAGGAUGGGUUGGCCAUUCUCACCCCCGUCCUGUCGGGUAUUUUUGUUAUCUUACCCCAUACUGAUACCCGAAUUAAAGUGGGACGGGGUUGGUCAUUUGCCCCAUUUAUUUUUUUCUUUUUAUUUAUUUUCUUUUUUGCUUUUAUUUUUUUUUAUGUUCUAUUAUUAUUUGUUUACCAAUUUUUUAAAACAAUUUAUGUUCUCUUUGAAAAUGAUGAUAAAUCUAUUAUUUUUGUUUGAUAAAAACUUUAAUUUGAAAUUAAAUUUAAACGGGACCAGUAGCAUGGCGGUGAUUAUGUUUCAUGUACUUGUCUCAUACCCACUUUGGGGCAAUGACCCUCGUCCCAUUUACCCGGUAAGGUGGGUAAUCCCCGACCCAUUCAAGAUGGGACCCUACGGGUAUCAGGUUGAACGAGUUUUUUUGCCAUCUCUAGUAAAAGUACAUGGGUGUCUUUUAACUUUGGCACAAGGUAAUUUCAGGAUAAAUAAGAAACACUGUAACCAUUUAAUUUAGUCUUGGAGGGACUUGGAGAUCUUCAUAUGUCAGUGAAAAUGAUUUGGCCAAGUUGUGCACAGUUCGGGCAAAAUUGUGCACAAUUUGUGACAUAGCAAGACUGAAAUUUAUGAAGUUAUAUGGUAUGGAUAGAAUGAUAGAGGAUGAACAGAUGAACAUUAUUAACAAACAUUUAAGUUUGGAACUUGCUUGGGAACGAGAUUGCUAUUUCCUUGCAGCUCUUUUUUGGAACCUAUUAAAUCAAGUUCAAGCUAAUAAGUAGUAAGUAAACAUCAGACUUGACUGAAAUUUGAUUGUCUGAUGAGUUCUCAAGAUUACUAUUUUCCAAAUUUAUUGGCAUUCCAUUUUUCUACAUUUCUGAUAUAUUUAUGCUUUUUAUCAUUGUACUCACUUUUGUCACCCGUUUCUUUGAUAUGAGAGUAGGAAGUGAUAACUAUUAUUAAAGGAAGUUAGGGUGAUAUUUCAGAGAUUACAAUUCAAUUUUGUGCCUGAAGUUGUUACUCUUAUACUUCCGUAGACUUCAUAUUAUGCUUGCUGUCACUGUGUUUUGCAACCACUUCUAGUGAUAUAACUCAUAAAUCGUAAUUUGGAUAUUUUAUUUUCAUUAUUCAGAGGCAUUCGAUUGAACUGCUGCAUCAAUGUCCAAUAUAAACUUUUGUGCAAAUGGUUAUUAUUUUUUGACAAUGAAUUGUCACGUGAAACCUUUUGUUAUGAAUUUUCAUUUCCUGAUUGUAGCUAUUUACUUAAACGCUUAAAAAUUGAUUUUGCUCUCCUGCAACAUAUCUACCACCUUCCAGCCCAUCACUUAGGUGUGAAGGCAGCGAAUCUGCAUAAAUUAUUUCUCAUUCAUAUUUUUGAGGCUCUGUGAUGUGCAAUUCCGAUGUUUGAUAAGCGAGGGUUGAUCUUCUCUUCUUUAUUGGCAUGUUUUUGGUAGGGAAGAUUGGAUAAGACUAAAUGAUUUAUAAAGGAGGAAAAUAAGCUAAAAUGUUAUUUUCUAUUUUGGUGAGUAUUGCUUACCUUACAUGCACAUAUAUUCAUCUAUAUUCUUGCUUACAUGCUUUUCUGCUUUGUUUUAAAGAUAUAUAUACGAGGAAACAAUUGAUAGUUUGUAUUGAAUUUAGAUUUCACCAAUUACAACGUAUUAACUGCUGUUGCACCUUCUUUCAUCAAAUCUCAGGGAUAUGGUCUAAUUGUGAGUGCAAUAUUUUAUCAUUGUGUCGAAGCCAAGUAUUUACGGUUUCCUUCUUGCUACCAUUGUCUCAAGACUUGUGGCUAGACUCUUUACUUAUUGGAAAGAAUUGCAGGAAAUCGUUCAAUAACACUUAUCAUAUUUCUUUUUCAUGACAAUUCCCAUGAAACUCUAUCAAUUCAUAUAUGUGAAUACUGAGGACAAUGGACUUAUGGAAGCCAAAUCUCAUUCUUUGCACCAAUCUAGGAACAAAAAAAGAGUUCGUGACUACUUUUAACAUAGACCGAGUAGAGAGUCCCCAGGACAGGAAGGCAGCAAACCCAGCAACCACCAUCCACUGUCGAAGUUCAUAUUGAUGAAUUAAUUCUCAGCGACCUUCCAGAUAGCAGUUACUAGGGUUUGUCUCCAUCAGUUGCUUGGUCAUCUAGUAGAGAUCAUACCUUUCCUGUUAUGGUUUCCUUGAUUUACUAUUGAAAAUUUCCAGUUUUGUUAUGAAAUACAUAACUCAUUUUCCAAAACAUAAUAAAGAGUAUCGAUCCUUCAAAUGAGUUGUUCAUUUGGUAAUUUGUGCGUUUCCCUUUUGCUGUAAAACGGAUAUAGUCUAAUAUCUUCUUGCUUCAGAUGAACUAGUUCUCCAUCGAGAUGACCUGCAGAACCAAUUGUUGAGAGCUGUUAAGGGUCUAUACUACUGGAGGAAGAGGAGAAGUGUAUACUGGUUGGUUUUACAUUAACCAUUCCUCAAGUUCUACUUCUCGCUCCUAUACGCUCUUCUUGCAUGAUGACUAGGAGCCACUAGCCAGCCCGGCAAAGUUAAUAAAAUGUUCGAGGGAACUGGGUGAUUCUUGAAUAUUUGAUGCACCUGCUUAUAGUUGUAUCCUGGUAUUGUAGGCAUUUAUGCAAUUUCGUGCAAUUUAUGUGUGUAUAUUUUUUCUCAUGUAAAUAUGAUGAUAGAUAUUGUAUGUUUAGAUCAUUCUGCUUAGCAGUGAAUGGCUCUUGUACGAGGGAAAAGAUAAAAAUUGUUCAAUGCUCACGAAACUAUUUAUGUAUUUGGUAUAUUAGAUGACUGGUCAGCAUGGAGAAUACGUAUGGAG
Molecule: long non-coding RNA, 6850 nt
Filed under: Olea europaea subsp. europaea
Lineage: Eukaryota; Viridiplantae; Streptophyta; Magnoliopsida; Lamiales; Oleaceae
Source: RNAcentral